AGGGGAGCCGUAGGGAAACCGAGUCUUAACCGGGCGUUAAGUUGCAGGGUAUAGACCCGAAACCCGGUGAUCUAGCCAUGGGCAGGUUGAAGGUUGGGUAACACUAACUGGAGGACCGAACCGACUAAUGUUGAAAAAUUAGCGGAUGACCUGUGGCUGGGGGUGAAAGGCCAAUCAAACCGGGAGAUAGCUGGUUCUCCCCGAAAGCUAUUUAGGUAGCGCCUCGUGAAUUCAUCUCCGGGGGUAGAGCACUGUUUCGGCUAGGGGGCCAUCCCGGCUUACCAACCCGAUGCAAACUGCGAAUACCGGAGAAUGUUAUCACGGGAGACACACGGCGGGUGCUAACGUCCGUCGUGAAGAGGGAAACAACCCAGACCGCCAGCUAAGGUCCCAAAGUCAUGGUUAAGUGGGAAACGAUGUGGGAAGGCCCAGACAGCCAGGAUGUUGGCUUAGAAGCAGCCAUCAUUUAAAGAAAGCGUAAUAGCUCACUGGUCGAGUCGGCCUGCGCGGAAGAUGUAACGGGGCUAAACCAUGCACCGAAGCUGCGGCAGCGAACGUAUCACCCAAGACAACUUUACGGAGUUGACGAUUGACGGAGCGAAGCGACGUCAAAGCGUUCAUUAAAGUCGAGUUGGCUUAGGGAUACGUUCGUUGGGUAGGGGAGCGUUCUGUAAGCCUGUGAAGGUGUGUCGUGAGGCAUGCUGGAGGUAUCAGAAGUGCGAAUGCUGACAUAAGUAACGAUAAAGCGGGUGAAAAGCCCGCUCGCCGGAAGACCAAGGGUUCCUGUCCAACGUUAAUCGGGGCAGGGUGAGUCGACCCCUAAGGCGAGGCCGAAAGGCGUAGUCGAUGGGAAACGGGUUAAUAUUCCCGUACUUGGUGUUACUGCGAAGGGGGGACGGAGAAGGCUAUGUUGGCCGGGCGACGGUUGUCCCGGUUUAAGCGUGUAGGUGUGUGUUCCAGGUAAAUCCGGUUCACUUUAACACUGAGGCGUGACGACGAGGCACUACGGUGCUGAAGCAACAAAUGCCCUGCUUCCAGGAAAAGCCUCUAAGCAUCAGGUAACACGAAAUCGUACCCCAAACCGACACAGGUGGUCAGGUAGAGAAUACCAAGGCGCUUGAGAGAACUCGGGUGAAGGAACUAGGCAAAAUGGUGCCGUAACUUCGGGAGAAGGCACGCUGACACGUAGGUGAAGUGAUUUACUCAUGGAGCUGAAGUCAGUCGAAGAUACCAGCUGGCUGCAACUGUUUAUUAAAAACACAGCACUGUGCAAACACGAAAGUGGACGUAUACGGUGUGACGCCUGCCCGGUGCCGGAA
RNAcentral lists this ribosomal RNA (1319 nucleotides) under Salmonella enterica. RNAcentral describes it as "partial 23S ribosomal RNA". It matches the Rfam family "Bacterial large subunit ribosomal RNA", at positions 659 to 1874 of the family's 2925-position model. The record is from RNAcentral. Lineage: Bacteria; Pseudomonadati; Pseudomonadota; Gammaproteobacteria; Enterobacterales; Enterobacteriaceae.